RNAcentral lists this non-coding RNA (242 nucleotides) under Anaerolineae bacterium. RNAcentral describes it as "T-box sequence". It matches the Rfam family "T-box leader". Rfam says of the family: Uncharged tRNA acts as the effector for transcription antitermination of genes in the T-box leader family. T-boxes are found upstream of many aminoacyl-tRNA synthetase genes and some amino acid biosynthetic genes usually in Gram-positive bacteria. The record is from RNAcentral. Lineage: Bacteria; Bacillati; Chloroflexota; Anaerolineae.
UAAAAAGCGAUGACAGCGAAAAGUAGAUUGUUCGGAAGCCGACAGGGACGCACAGGCAAGGACUGAGACCGGUGCGCGGGAGAAGAAAAUCGAAGUUCACGCUCGAGCUUCCCGGGGGAACCAGUUAAUGCAGUAGUUCGGGACGCAAAUCCGGCGUUAUUGGAAGAAUAAGUGGGUAUAUCGGUUGAAUAAGCCUAUAUAUCAAGCAGGGUGGUACCACGGAAAUUGCUCCCGUCCCUUUC